Molecule: ribosomal RNA, 461 nt
Filed under: uncultured bacterium
Lineage: Bacteria
Description: bacterial SSU rRNA
Rfam family: Bacterial small subunit ribosomal RNA
Source: RNAcentral
GAUGAACGUUGGCGGUGUGCCUAAUACAUGCAAGUCGAACGGAGUUAGUAGCAAUACUGGCUCAGUGGCGAAACGGGGUGAGUAACGCGUUGGUGAUCUGCCUUGAAGUGUGGAAUAACGUUUCGAAAGAGACGCUAAUACCGCAUGUGCUCUCGAUUUUCAGAAAGUUGAGAGUAAAGGAUUUAUUCGCUUCAAGAGGAGCCUGCGUCCCAUCAGCUGGUUGGUAGGGUAACGGCCUACCAAGGCUAUGACGGGUAGGGGACCUGAGAGGGUGGCCCCCCACAAUGGAACUGAAACACGGUCCAUACACCUACGGGUGGCAGCAGUAGGGAAUAUUAGAAAUGGACGAAAGUCUGAUCUAGCAACACCGCGUGUGCGAAGAAGGCCUUCGGGUCGUAAAGCACUUUUUGGAAGGAAUAGGAAGGAAUGUACUUCCAGAAUAAGUCUCGGCUAACUACGUG